Molecule: ribosomal RNA, 468 nt
Filed under: uncultured bacterium
Lineage: Bacteria
Description: partial 16S ribosomal RNA
Rfam family: Bacterial small subunit ribosomal RNA
Source: RNAcentral
GACGAACGCUGGCGGCGUGCUUAACACAUGCAAGUCGAACGGAAAGGCCCUGCUUUUGUGGGGUGCUCGAGUGGCGAACGGGUGAGUAACACGUGAGUAUCCUGCCCUUGACUUUGGGAUAACUUCAGGAAACUGGGGCUAAUACCGGAUAGGAGCUCCUGCUGCAUGGUGGGGGUUGGAAAGUUUCGGCGGUUGUGGAUGGACUCGCGGGUUAUCAGCUUGUUUGUGGGGUAGUGGCUUACCAAGGCUUUGACGGGUAGCCGGCCUGAGAGGGUUACCGGCCACAUGGGGACUGAGAUACGGACCAGACUCCUACGGGAGGCAGCAGUGGGGAAUAUUGCAGAAUGGGCGGAAGUCUGAUGCAGCAACGCCGCGUGCGGGAUGACGGCCUUCGGGUUGUAAACCGCUUUCGCCUGUGACGAAGCGUGAGUGACGGUAAUGGGUAAAGAAGCACCGGCUAACUACGUG